GGCUAGGUAAACCCCACUCGGAGCAAGACCAAAUAGGGUUCCAUCGGCGUGGCCCGCGCUGGAACCGGGUAGGUUGCUAAAGGCGUGCAGUGAUGUACGUCGUAGAGGAAUGACUGUCCUCGACAGAACCCGGCUUACAGAUCGACUCUCCUC
RNAcentral lists this RNase P RNA (153 nucleotides) under Pseudomonas sp. 34-62-33. RNAcentral describes it as "partial RNase P RNA component class A". It matches the Rfam family "Bacterial RNase P class A", at positions 200 to 367 of the family's 367-position model. From Rfam's summary of the family: Ribonuclease P (RNase P) is a ubiquitous endoribonuclease, found in archaea, bacteria and eukarya as well as chloroplasts and mitochondria. Its best characterised activity is the generation of mature 5'-ends of tRNAs by cleaving the 5'-leader elements of precursor-tRNAs. Cellular RNase Ps are ribonucleoproteins. The record is from RNAcentral. Lineage: Bacteria; Pseudomonadati; Pseudomonadota; Gammaproteobacteria; Pseudomonadales; Pseudomonadaceae.